RNAcentral lists this ribosomal RNA (154 nucleotides) under Sidera lowei. Its description in RNAcentral is "5.8S ribosomal RNA". It matches the Rfam family "5.8S ribosomal RNA". Rfam says of the family: 5.8S ribosomal RNA (5.8S rRNA) is a component of the large subunit of the eukaryotic ribosome. Lineage: Eukaryota; Fungi; Basidiomycota; Agaricomycetes; Hymenochaetales; Rickenellaceae. The record is from RNAcentral.
AACUUUCAACAACGGAUCUCUUGGCUCUCGCAUCGAUGAAGAACGCAGCGAAAUGCGAUAAGUAAUGUGAAUUGCAGAAUUCAGUGAAUCAUCGAAUCUUUGAACGCACCUUGCGCUCCUUGGUAUUCCGAGGAGCAUGCCCGUUUGAGUGUCG